AGGAGAAACUAUUGCUGCAGGACCAAGAGAUAAUUACAGAUUUCUUCCUUCUCCCUCUUAACAAUCAUGAGGCCAUGCUCAGAAUUAAAUGGUUGACGACAUUAGGUGAUAUUUCCUGGAAUUUUAUGAAACUAAUUAUGAAAUUUUACAGUAAGGAGAAACAAGUGACAUUGCACGGGAAACGUGGGGGCGACAUAAC
Molecule: long non-coding RNA, 199 nt
Filed under: Musa acuminata (dwarf banana)
Lineage: Eukaryota; Viridiplantae; Streptophyta; Magnoliopsida; Zingiberales; Musaceae
Description: long non-coding RNA (MACU_LNC011364)
Source: RNAcentral